Molecule: ribosomal RNA, 500 nt
Filed under: uncultured bacterium
Lineage: Bacteria
Description: partial 16S ribosomal RNA
Rfam family: Bacterial small subunit ribosomal RNA
Source: RNAcentral
AUUGAACGCUGGCGGCAUGCCUUACACAUGCAAGUCGAACGGCAGCACGGGAGCAAUCCUGGUGGCGAGUGGCGAACGGGUGAGUAAUAUAUCGGAACGUGCCCAGUCGUGGGGGAUAACGCAGCGAAAGCUGUGCUAAUACCGCAUACGAUCUACGGAUGAAAGCGGGGGAUCGCAAGACCUCGCGCGAUUGGAGCGGCCGAUAUCAGAUUAGCUAGUUGGUGAGGUAAAGGCUCACCAAGGCGACGAUCUGUAGCUGGUCUGAGAGGACGACCAGCCACACUGGAACUGAGACACGGUCCAGACUCCUACGGGAGGCAGCAGUGGGGAAUUUUGGACAAUGGACGCAAGUCUGAUCCAGCCAUUCCGCGUGCAGGAUGAAGGCCCUCGGGUUGUAAACUGCUUUUGUACGGAACGAAAAGGUCUCUCUUAAUACGGGGGACUCAUGACGGUACCGUAAGAAUAAGCACCGGCUAACUACGUGCCAGCCGCCGCGGUAA